RNAcentral lists this ribosomal RNA (460 nucleotides) under uncultured bacterium. RNAcentral's name for it is "partial 16S ribosomal RNA". It matches the Rfam family "Bacterial small subunit ribosomal RNA", at positions 338 to 795 of the family's 1533-position model. The record is from RNAcentral.
CCUACGGGAGGCAGCAGUGAGGAAUAUUGGUCAAUGGGCGCGAGCCUGAACCAGCCAAGUCGCGUGAAGGAUGACUGCCCUACGGGUUGUAAACUUCUUUUAUAAAGGAAUAAAGUGAGGCACGUGUGCCUUUUUGUAUGUACUUUAUGAAUAAGGAUCGGCUAACUCCGUGCCAGCAGCCGCGGUAAUACGGAGGAUCCGAGCGUUAUCCGGAUUUAUUGGGUUUAAAGGGAGCGUAGAUGGGUUGUUAAGUCAGAUGUGAAAGUCUGCGGCUCAACCGCGAAAUUGCAAUUGAUACUGGCGGCCUUGAGUACAGUUGAGGUAGGCGGAAUGCGUGGUGUAGCGGUGAAAUGCUUAGAUAUCACGAAGAACACCGAUUGCGAAGGCAGCUUACCAAACUGCCACUGACAUUGAGGCACGAAAGUGUGGGUAUCAAACAGGAUUAGAUACCCUGGUAGUC